RNAcentral lists this ribosomal RNA (497 nucleotides) under uncultured bacterium. RNAcentral's name for it is "partial 16S ribosomal RNA". It matches the Rfam family "Bacterial small subunit ribosomal RNA", at positions 28 to 507 of the family's 1533-position model. The record is from RNAcentral.
GAUGAACGCUGGCGGCGUGCUUAAUACAUGCAAGUCGAGCGAAAAGACGAGGAGCUUGCUCCUCUGACGUUAGCGGCGGACGGGUGAGUAACACGUGGAUAACCUACCUAAAAGUCUGGGAUAACUACGGGAAACCGGAGCAUAUACCGGAGAAUAUAUUGAACCGCAUGGUGGAAUAGUGAGAGACGGUUUUGCUGGCACGUAUAGAUGGUUCUGAGCCGCAUGAGCUGGUCGGUACGGUAAAGGGCUACCAAGGGUACGAUGCGUACGCGACCUGAGAGGCUGGUCGGCCACCCUGGAACUUGACCGCGGUCCAGGCUCCUGCGGGACGCACCAGUAGGGAAUCUUCCGCAACAGGCGAGAGCCUGACGGAACAACGCCGCGUCAGUGAUGACCGUCUUCGGUUCGUAAAACUCUGUUAUUAGGGGUGAACAAAUGUGGAAGUUACUGUGCACUUCUUGACGGUACCUAAUCAAGAAGCAACGGCUAACUACGUG